Molecule: ribosomal RNA, 302 nt
Filed under: Gammarus cf. balcanicus GcfBAL8
Lineage: Eukaryota; Metazoa; Arthropoda; Malacostraca; Amphipoda; Gammaridae
Description: partial 16S ribosomal RNA
Source: RNAcentral
UUUUAACGGCUGCGGUAUUUUGACUGUGCUAAGGUAGCAUAGUCAUUUGUUAUUUAAUUGGUAACUGGAAUGAAAGGUUAAACUAAUUUAUUAAGUUUGUAGGCUAAAUAGUAAAUUAAAGUUAAGGUAAGAAUUCUUUAAUUUUCUAGGGGACGAUAAGACCCUAGAAGCUUAACAAGCUUAGUUUUGUGUUUGUUCUAAAAGUUGGUUUGUUUUACUGGGGCGGUAUAAGUAAUUUAGCUAUUUAUUUAUUAAAGGAUCCUUUAAAUAAAGAUAAAAUGGGUAAGUUACUCUAGGGAUAA